This is a long non-coding RNA of Nilaparvata lugens (brown planthopper), 769 nucleotides long. RefSeq lists it as uncharacterized. The transcript has 3 exons. The record is from RefSeq and is a predicted model, not a curated record. Lineage: Eukaryota; Metazoa; Arthropoda; Insecta; Hemiptera; Delphacidae.
CAAGAUAAACAAAUGGUUAAUUGUAAUCAAAAACCAAUUUCUCGUCAACCUUGUGUUAAAAUCAAAUUGGUAUUGUCUAAGGUGCUGUUGAAUAAUUGGAGAUCAAAUAUUGCAGAUCCUGAAUAUUGUUUGCUCCCACUCACAGUAUCUCUUCAUAAGUAUUUGUUCUUCCACUCUAUCAGUUGAACCCACACCGAAAGCUAUAGGUUUACCAUUGCUACAGAAAGAUGAAUUUGUUUCUACAUUUUCUGUCUAUAGCAGGUUUGCUUGUGCAAAAUUCUUUGAUACCACUAGUAAUAAUCAAUUACAGAAAAACAAUGGUUCUACACUGUGGUUUCAAGGCAGGCUUAUGGCUUUUAUAAUUAAAUGAAAUAUUUAACACAAAUUGGAAAGAAAGAUUGAAAUCUAUUCUUCACAGAUGUUCUAUGACAUCGAUAAAUUUUAUAAAAAAAAUUCAGAUGUAAAACAAAACAUCUUAAAUUUCAAUUAUUUAGAAAAUAGACAUAAACACUUCUACCAUUAGCCAAGCCCUUGCAAGUCUGAGUUCACUAACUCUAGCUAACUCUGUUGAAACGGCAGUCAUAUUUGUUUUGGUCAUAUUUUGGUAGCAAAAGUGAGGUUGUAAUAAACUUUGAGUUUAGCUUAUAGCAGACUAGUAGGUAACCCGUGCUUCGCAAGGGUCUAUUUUAAAACUUUGCGAAAUGAAAACUUGAUGUAAUAAAAAAUUCGAAAUUUGAAAAUAGGCCUGUAACCAUCCUCGGUUAAUGAA